AUAAAGUUUUAUUUUGGCUAAAAAAUUUAUUAUUUUUAUAGUUUAUAUGUAAGUUUUUGCAAGAAUUAUAAUAAUUCUUAAGGAAGUUUUAUUAGAAAUUAUUCGCAGUAUUUGGUAUUGAUUAUUAAAGAAAUUUAGAAUUAGUAAUAAAUAAUAGUAUAGGUUAAUUUUGUGCCAGCAUCCGCGGUUAUACAAAAUAUACAAAUAAAUUUUAUUAUUAUAUAGUUAAUUGUUAAAAUUAUAAAUGAGAGAUUAAAUUUUAAGGUAAAAUUUAAAUUUGAUUAAAAGUUUAUUUAGAAUUUUUUAUGAAGCUAUUAAAAUUUAAUAAAAAACUAGGAUUAGAUACCCUAUUAUUUAAAAAGUAAAAAAAAUUAAUAUGGUAGUAGUAGUUAUAGUCUUGAAACUAAAAAAAUUUGGCGGUAUUUUAAUCUGUUUAGAGGAAUCUGUCCCAUAAUCGAUAGUCCACGAUUAAUUUUACAUAAUUUAAUUUAAUUUGUAUAUCGUCGUUAUAAGGAAAUUUUAUAAGAAGAUAAAUUUUCUAAAAUUUUUAAUAAGAUUUAUUUCAGAUCAAGGUGCAAUAUAUAAUUAUGAGGAGAUGGAUUACAAUAAAUUUAUUUAUAAUGGAUAGUAAAUUGAAAAAUUUAUUUGAAGGUGGAUUUAAUAGUAAUUUAAAUAAAAUUAUUUUUUUGAUUAUAGUUCUAAAAUAUGCACAUAUCGCCCGUCGCUCUCUUUUUUAAAAAGAGAUAAGUCGUAACAAAGUAGAUGUACUGGAAAGUGUAUCUAGAAUGAU
Molecule: non-coding RNA, 790 nt
Filed under: Protohermes sinuolatus
Lineage: Eukaryota; Metazoa; Arthropoda; Insecta; Megaloptera; Corydalidae
Source: RNAcentral